This 711-nucleotide long non-coding RNA is filed under the name Ananas comosus (pineapple). RNAcentral describes it as "long non-coding RNA (ACOM_LNC041655)". The record is from RNAcentral. Lineage: Eukaryota; Viridiplantae; Streptophyta; Magnoliopsida; Poales; Bromeliaceae.
UCGAUUGCUGGCUCGCUCGCCCCCUCGCCUACACUCUCGAUUGCUGGCUCGCUCGCCCCCUCGCCUACUUCUCAGGUUUGAUUCUUUCUUUUUCUUUUUUUUUUUAAUUUCUUGCAUAUAUUAGUUUUAAUCAAUUUUAUUUUUUUGUAGCUUGCAUCGAAAGAAAAGGAUGGUGCUACAUAUACUACAAAAGGCCAAGAAGAGACAGAUAGCUCAAGUGACUCUGUAUGAAGAUAAACUUGUAACAUGCGUAAAGAAUGGCUGAACUAGGCUUUUUGUUUGUAGUAUGUAUUUUGCUAGUAAUAACUCUGAAAUGAUACUUAUUAUCCGGAUAGUUUAACUUGUAGAAUGUUCAAGUAAUUUGGAUGAUUUAACUAAUUUGGUGAGUUGCUCUGUAUGGUUAAAUUUGAUAUAUCAUUUAGUCACUUCUUCUUGCUCUUUUAUUCCUUUAUAAAGCCCUCUUCAGGUAAAGUUUCCAUUUUUUUAAUCCUAUUCCUGCAAAAAUUGUUCAGAUACUUUUGUAUCCAACAACCCAUUUUGGGUCUGGAUGUGUUUUGUGAUGUGUGAUUACAAUUUGGUUAUGCUUGUUCCCAUGUCUUGUUGUGAAUUGUGGGUUUUGUGUUCAUGGUGAGUAGUUGUAUGAGGUUAAAUUUGAUGUAUCAUUUAAUUGUUAGUGUGACCUUGUGUGAUGUUUAUGACACAAAUUGGUAG